AUUGAACGCUGGCGGAAUGCUUUACACAUGCAAGUCGAACGGCAGCACGGGGCAACCUGGUGGCGAGUGGCGAACGGGUGAGUAAUACAUCGGAACGUGCCCAAUCGUGGGGGGAUAACGUAGCGAAAGUUACGCUAAUACCGCAUACGAUCUACGGAUGAAAGCGGGGGAUCGCAAGACCUCGCGCGAUUGGAGCGGCCGAUGUCAGAUUAGGUAGUUGGUGGGGUAAAGGCUCACCAAGCCGACGAUCUGUAGCUGGUCUGAGAGGACGACCAGCCACACUGGGACUGAGACACGGCCCAUACUCCUACGGAGGCAGCAGUGGGGAAUUUUACGGCAAUGGGCGAAAGCCUGACGUAGCGACACCGCGUGAGCGAAGAAGCCCCUUGGGGUGUAAAGCUCUGUCAGCUGG
Molecule: ribosomal RNA, 412 nt
Filed under: uncultured bacterium
Lineage: Bacteria
Description: bacterial SSU rRNA
Rfam family: Bacterial small subunit ribosomal RNA
Source: RNAcentral